GUUGUGAUAGUCAAGUGGUUAAAGCAUUGGACUAGAAAUCUAAUAGGGUUUCCCUGUGCAGGUUCAAAUCCUGCUCACGAGG
RNAcentral lists this transfer RNA (82 nucleotides) under Pelodiscus sinensis (Chinese soft-shelled turtle). It matches the Rfam family "tRNA". Rfam says of the family: Transfer RNA (tRNA) molecules are approximately 80 nucleotides in length. Lineage: Eukaryota; Metazoa; Chordata; Testudines; Trionychidae. The record is from Rfam by way of RNAcentral.